GGCGAAGUACGGGGAGCGGGCCGCGUAAUUAGUGGGGGGGGAGGCGGUAUCUGGAAUGACUGGGGGUAAAGGGUGGGUAGGCGGCUAAGAAAGCAGGGGUUGAAAGGCAUUGGCUCAACUAAGGUAAGCCUUUGGAACUGCUAGGCUUGAGUGCAGGAGAGGUAAGUGGAAUUCCUAGUGUAGAGGUGAAAUUCGUAGAUAUUAGGAGGAACACCAGUGGCGAAGGCGACUUACUGGACUGUAACUGACGCUGAGGCACGAAAGCGUGGGGAGCGAACAGGAUUAGAUACCCGUGUAGUC
This 300-nucleotide ribosomal RNA is filed under the name uncultured Bacillus sp. RNAcentral describes it as "partial 16S ribosomal RNA". The stretch from base 53 to 300 matches the Rfam family "Bacterial small subunit ribosomal RNA", at positions 547 to 795 of the family's 1533-position model. The record is from RNAcentral. Lineage: Bacteria; Bacillati; Bacillota; Bacilli; Caryophanales; Bacillaceae.